RNAcentral lists this transfer RNA (77 nucleotides) under Citrobacter sp. JGM124. RNAcentral's name for it is "tRNA-Pro". It matches the Rfam family "tRNA". From Rfam's summary of the family: Transfer RNA (tRNA) molecules are approximately 80 nucleotides in length. Their secondary structure includes four short double-helical elements and three loops (D, anti-codon, and T loops). The record is from RNAcentral. Lineage: Bacteria; Pseudomonadati; Pseudomonadota; Gammaproteobacteria; Enterobacterales; Enterobacteriaceae.
CGGCACGUAGCGCAGCCUGGUAGCGCACCGUCAUGGGGUGUCGGGGGUCGGAGGUUCAAUUCCUCUCGUGCCGACCA